AACCUUAUGGACCUGCGGGCGUAUACCUGCGGAGGGAUCAUUAUUGAAUAAACUUGGUCAAGCUGUUGCUGGUCCUUCGGGGCAUGUGCACGCUUGCCACCAAUUUUAACCACCUGUGCACCUUUUGUAGAUUGGAAACGUUUCUCGAGGCAACUCGGAUUGAGGACUGCUGUGCGCAAGCCAGCUGUUCUUGUGUUUCUCAACCUAUGUUUUCAUAUACUCCUAAUGUAUGUAUCAGAA
Molecule: unclassified non-coding RNA, 240 nt
Filed under: soil metagenome
Description: partial contains 5.8S ribosomal RNA, internal transcribed spacer 2, and large subunit ribosomal RNA
Source: RNAcentral